Molecule: ribosomal RNA, 505 nt
Filed under: uncultured bacterium
Lineage: Bacteria
Description: bacterial SSU rRNA
Rfam family: Bacterial small subunit ribosomal RNA
Source: RNAcentral
AGAGUUUGAUUAUGGCUCAGGAUGAACGCUGGCGGCGUGCUUAACACAUGCAAGUCGAACGGAGCCAAAGGGAAGCUUGCUUCUUUGAAGCUUAGUGGCGGACGGGUGAGUAACGCGUGAGCAACCUGCCCUUCAGUGGGGAAUAACACAGAGAAAUCUGUGCUAAUACCGCAUAACGUCUCUUUGCCGCAUGACAGAGAGACCAAAGGAUUUAUUCGCUGAAGGAUGGGCUCGCGUCCGAUUAGGCAGUUGGUGAGGUAACGGCUCACCAAACCUACGAUCGGUAGCCGAACUGAGAGGUUGAUCGGCCACAUUGGGACUGAGACACGGCCCAGACUCCUACGGGAGGCAGCAGUGGGGAAUAUUGGGCAAUGGGGCCGAAAGCCUGACCCAGCAACGCCGCGUGAAGGAAGACGGUCUUCGGAUUGUAAACUUCUUUGAUUGGGGAAGAACAAAAUGACCUACCCAAAGAACAAGUCACGGCUAACUACGUGCCAGCCGCCGC